GCCUCAAAUCGGGUGAGACUACCCGCUGAACUUAAGC
This 37-nucleotide ribosomal RNA is filed under the name Lactarius camphoratus. Its description in RNAcentral is "partial 25S ribosomal RNA". RNAcentral also lists the same sequence under 1 other name. Lineage: Eukaryota; Fungi; Basidiomycota; Agaricomycetes; Russulales; Russulaceae. The record is from RNAcentral.